Long non-coding RNA from Condylostylus longicornis, 379 nucleotides. RefSeq lists it as uncharacterized. NCBI's taxonomy places the organism in Eukaryota, Metazoa, Arthropoda, Insecta, Diptera, Dolichopodidae. The transcript is spliced from 3 exons. The record is from RefSeq and is a predicted model, not a curated record.
AAAAUAAUAUAUUUGUGGAACAUUUUCAAGUUUUGUAUUUAUUUGAUUUGAUUUCAAAAAGUAAUAUCUAAAUUAUUGAACGAAUUAAAGCAAGCUGGAAAUAUUAAAAAAUCAAUAAAUUCAUUAAAUAUUAUUGCUAAUUAAAUACAUUUAUAAACUUAAAAAUGAUUACGGAUGUUCAACUUGCAAUUUUUUCAAAUGUUCUUGGAGUUUUUCUAUUUUUGUUAGUGGUGGCCUACCAUUAUAUCAAUGCCAAUAUGGGCAAGCCGCAAUCUUCAGGAAAUAUACGCAAAUGAAUUAAUGUAUUAAUUCUAUGAUUAGCGUAAGCAAUGUAAUUCAUAAGGUUCUUAUAAGAAUAAAUUUACGAAGAAUAAACUAA